This 540-nucleotide ribosomal RNA is filed under the name uncultured Geobacteraceae bacterium. RNAcentral's name for it is "bacterial SSU rRNA". It matches the Rfam family "Bacterial small subunit ribosomal RNA", at positions 9 to 526 of the family's 1533-position model. The record is from RNAcentral. Lineage: Bacteria; Pseudomonadati; Thermodesulfobacteriota; Desulfuromonadia; Geobacterales; Geobacteraceae.
GAGUUUGAUCCUGGCUCAGAACGAACGCUGGCGGCGUGCCUAACACAUGCAAGUCGAACGUGAUCCAGAGCUUGCUCUGGUGAAAGUGGCGCACGGGUGAGUAACGCGUGGAUAACCUACCCUGGUAUCCGGGAUAACAUUCCGAAAGGGGUGCUAAUACCGGAUAAGCCCACGGGCUCUUUGGAGCUUGCGGGAAAAGGUGGCCUCUAUUUAUAAGCUACUGUAUCAGGAUGGGUCCGCGUACCAUUAGCUAGCUGGCGGUGUAACGGACCACCAAGGCGACGAUGGUUAGCUGGUCUGAGAGGAUGAUCAGCCACACUGGAACUGAGACACGGUCCAGACUCCUACGGGAGGCAGCAGUGGGGAAUUUUGCGCAAUGGGGGAAACCCUGACGCAGCAACGCCGCGUGAGUGAUGAAGGCCUUUGGGUCGUAAAGCUCUGUCAGAGGGGAAGAAAUGAUAUAGUGCUAAUACCACUUUAUCUUGACGGUACCCUCAAAGGAAGCACCGGCUAACUCCGUGCCAGCAGCCGCGGUAAUAC